Kogia breviceps (pygmy sperm whale) is the source of this 107-nucleotide small nuclear RNA. Lineage: Eukaryota; Metazoa; Chordata; Mammalia; Artiodactyla; Physeteridae. The record is from RefSeq and is a predicted model, not a curated record.
GUGCUUGCUUCAGCAGCACAUAUACUAAAAUUAGAACAAUACAGAGUAGAUUAGCAUGGCCCCUGCACAGAGAUGACAUGCAAAUUAAUGAAGUGUGCCAUAUUUCU